Helianthus annuus (common sunflower) is the source of this 308-nucleotide long non-coding RNA. RefSeq lists it as uncharacterized. Lineage: Eukaryota; Viridiplantae; Streptophyta; Magnoliopsida; Asterales; Asteraceae. The transcript is spliced from 2 exons. The record is from RefSeq and is a predicted model, not a curated record.
CGAGUGGACACGCCGGAGGUGAUACCCGCGGAAAAGGUGCGCUUUGAAGGUACAAAUAAAUCUCUCUCGGAUGAUGAUCAAGCACCUUGUCAAGAACCGAACACGCAAACUGAAGCUUCCGCAUGAAUAUAAUUUUGUCUAAACUUUAAACAUGUCAUAAAUACUUUUGGUUGAUGGUGUUUUGAAUCCUUUAGCUAGUUGUUAGCUGAUUAGUAGGGAUGGCUCUUAAAUGAAUUUUGUACCAUCUUAAACAUGUUUGGGAAAUUACACUAGUAUGUAUGUUUUAAAACAGUAAAUCCUUUUGUAAA